GAAUUAUUGGGCGUAAAGAGCUCGUAGGCGGUUUGUCGCGUCUGCUGUGAAAACUGGAGGCUCAACCUCCAGCCUGCAGUGGGUACGGGCAGACUAGAGUGCGGUAGGGGAGAUUGGAAUUCCUGGUGUAGCGGUGGAAUGCGCAGAUAUCAGGAGGAACACCGAUGGCGAAGGCAGAUCUCUGGGCCGUAACUGACGCUGAGGAGCGAAAGCAUGGGGAGCGAACAGGAUUAGAUACCCUGGUAGUCCAUGCCGUAAACGUUGGGAACUAGAUGUGGGGGCCAUUCCACGGUCUCCGUGUCGCAGCUAACGCAUUAAGUUCCCCGCCUGGGGAGUACGGCCGCAAGGCUAAAACUCAAAGGAAUUGACGGGGGCCCGCACAAGCGGCGGAGCAUGCGGAUUAAUUCGAUGCAACGCGAAGAACCUUACCAAGGCUUGACAUAUACGAGAACGGGCCAGAAAUGGUCAACUCUUUGGACACUCGUAAACAGGUGGUGCAUGGUUGUCGUCAGCUCGUGUCGUGAGAUGUUGGGUUAAGUCCCGCAACGAGCGCAACCCUCGUUCUAUGUUGCCAGCACGUUAUGGUGGGAACUCAUAGGAGACUGCCGGGGUCAACUCGGAGGAAGGUGGGGAUGACGUCAAAUCAUCAUGCCCCUUAUGUCUUGGGCUUCACGCAUGCUACAAUGGCCGGUACAAAGGGCUGCGAUACCGUAAGGUGGAGCGAAUCCCAAAAAGCCGGUCUCAGUUCGGAUUGAGGUCUGCAACUCGACCUCAUGAAGUCGGAGUCGCUAGUAAUCGCAGAUCAGCAACGCUGCGGUGAAUACGUUCCCGGGCCUUGUACACACCGCCCGUCAAGUCAUGAAAGUCGGUAACACCCAACGCCAGUGGCCUAACUUCGGGAGGGAGCUGUCUAAGGU
Molecule: ribosomal RNA, 917 nt
Filed under: Agreia sp. DAB_MM91
Lineage: Bacteria; Bacillati; Actinomycetota; Actinomycetes; Micrococcales; Microbacteriaceae
Description: bacterial SSU rRNA
Rfam family: Bacterial small subunit ribosomal RNA
Source: RNAcentral